GAGUGAACUGAAUAUAGGGUAUCGUCCUUUCCAAAUCACUUGUGCUUUAAAUAAAUCCUCCAGUAAUCAACAACAUGCUUAGAAAAGAAGAUGGCUCUGUUGUCACUGACUGAACAAGCGUGUUGGGCAAGAUUCAGGGCUUUUUCCAUGCCAGAGAUGUGCAGCCAUUACACUAGGAGCUUGUCUUUAAUUCCUCAUUUCUAAUGGACAGAUGCUUAAUACAAGCUUCCUUAGGUUUCUUGAGUUGUCUGCAGGGUGAGCUCACAGCAGGGUGUAUGGAGAACGUCCAUGCUUAGCAUGGAGCCAAGUCAGGCUCAACCCAAGCACUCUUUCCAGGGCUUUAUUUUUCAAAUAGAAGUGGGCUCCAAGCAGAGCAAAGCUGAAGAAGAGUUGCUGUGACGAGCCUCAUGUUUCAAGGCAUGGAUCAGUCACUACGCUGAAUUCUUUGGUUUUUUGUAAGACUGUCUCAGCAAAAGCUAGAGUAAAGCCUCCACUAAAGAAACUUCAUUAAGAGGAGCAGUGUGCAGGGCCCUGCAUAGCAAAUCUCGGUCUGCUUCACCUCUGGACAGCAUAAAUCCAACAGAAUGGGGAGACUGCACAAAUCAGAGGCAGACAGUGAACCCAGCAAACCUCCCACUGACCACAUCAGGCCCCUGCACCCACCUGCACCCUCUGAAGCAUCAGCAGACCCCAGCACCACAUAACCAGAGCCCUGAUCACCUGCUGAAUACUGAUUACUGUGCAGGCAGGAAUGGCUUCCUCUUACAGCUACUUCUCCCCUAGCAGAAAGCACUUGUUAAUAAUUCAGCUUCAUGCCACACCAGGACUGGAGCUCUGAGGCUUUCUAUGCUAUAGCUGUAAAUAUAGGACGUGACUGCAGCUGCAUGUUCUCUCCUGCAAAGUCCUACAAUGAAAUGAAUCAGUGCCCUAGAAGGUAACGGAGACAUCUCGAGGUCACUGCUCAGUGGGGCUCCCUCCAUCUGGAUGAAGGGAGCCAGGGAAAGGCCCAGCCCCUGGUGAAAGCCUCUCCAACCCUGCAGCACCCAUUGACCCCACUUCAGGGCAACCAGUGCUUUGGGAACCAGCCAGCAGAGCAUAACAGUAACAAACACCAAGGCAGGAGGAGCAGGCAGGGGAACAGGCACUCCCAGAGCUCGCUCAGAGGUUUUGCACCUACCCAUUUCAAGCAAGUUUUUUUUUCCCCUGUGUCCUUUGGUUACUAGCGAGCGGAGGCAGAGUGGACUUCUGUCCAUUCCUCUGGAUGUACACAGAAUAAAACAAGGGCACGCACUGCUAGCAAAUCACAGCACAAAGCCCUCUGGAGAGAAAGGGUUAAGAACUACUGAGGUGAAAAAAGGGAGAGCAUUACAUCCACCCACGGGCUGGAUGGAACCCCAGGACGGGGGACCUGCACCCCGCCAUCCGCAGGGACCCUUCGCUUGUUGCUAGGCAGCAGCACACCACAUCACAGCGGGUGAUGUUGCCACGGCGACUGGGUGUGAUCCUGCUGCUUGUGAUGCUGUGACAGCCAGAGGACACGUAGGGAAACGCAUUGGUGACGUCCGAGGCGGCGAGUGGUGGGGGCUGCAGGCUCGGCUCACUGCCAGGACGCGUCCCUGGCAUCACCACUUCAUCCCCUUAUUUCCUCUCCUGCUCACUGCUGCUUUUCAGAAAAAGAAAAAAAAAAAAAUCACCCUGGAGAUCUCCCAGCCCAAGGCAGCCUGUUGUCCAUGCCACCCACGGUGAGAUUCUGUAGCUGCUAGUGGGGAAGAAGAGAUGAACGUUUCAUUUUCCUGGUAAAAAGAGCCCCCUGCGUGCAGCCCAUUGCCCUCUGCAUGGUGCACAGCUCAUCUCCCAUCCUUGGAGCUUCGUGGUGCCCAGAUGGAGACGCAGACCCUGGCCCCGUGAGGCAUCUCCAGAGCUCAGCCACCCUGCCCUCACCCCACAGGCAGUGCAUCAGCUGGAAUGAGUGUCCAGAGCACCAUCUAGGUAGCACCUGGGUACAGCUGUUGAUCACCUGGUAGUCAGCUACACACUGUUCUUCCUUGUGCAUCAGCCAAGCCCAGCUCACAUCCUGCCUUCACCUCCAGCAAGUAGUUCUGGAGCAGACCUCAAGGGUUUCAGCAAGGCUUUGUGCCUUGACAGAUAAGCAGCAUCAUUGAGCUGUGAAUAUCUGAAAGCAGGAAUCCAACGUGGAGCUGAAAUUGAACUUGAUACAUGAUGAGGAAAUAAAAAUCUGAAUGAAUCCUUUC
This is a long non-coding RNA of Numida meleagris (helmeted guineafowl), 2252 nucleotides long. RefSeq lists it as uncharacterized. Lineage: Eukaryota; Metazoa; Chordata; Aves; Galliformes; Numididae. The record is from RefSeq and is a predicted model, not a curated record. The transcript has 2 exons.